AGCAGCGUGGCGCAGCGGAAGCGUGCUGGGCCCAUAACCCAGAGGUCGGUGGAUCGAAACCACCCGCUGCUA
Molecule: non-coding RNA, 72 nt
Organism: Branchiostoma floridae (Florida lancelet)
Lineage: Eukaryota; Metazoa; Chordata; Leptocardii; Amphioxiformes; Branchiostomatidae
Source: Rfam